AGAGUUUGAUCCUGGCUCAGAUUGAACGCUGGCGGCAUGCCUUACACAUGCAAGUCGAACGGUAACAGGUCUUCGGAUGCUGACGAGUGGCGAACGGGUGAGUAAUACAUCGGAACGUGCCUAGUAGUGGGGGAUAACUACUCGAAAGAGUGGCUAAUACCGCAUGAGAUCUACGGAUGAAAGCAGGGGAUCGCAAGACCUUGUGCUACUAGAGCGGCCGAUGGCAGAUUAGGUAGUUGGUGGGAUAAAAGCUUACCAAGCCGACGAUCUGUAGCUGGUCUGAGAGGACGAUCAGCCACACUGGGACUGAGACACGGCCCAGACUCCUACGGGAGGCAGCAGUGGGGAAUUUUGGACAAUGGGCGCAAGCCUGAUCCAGCAAUGCCGCGUGCAGGAUGAAGGCCUUCGGGUUGUAAACUGCUUUUGUACGGAACGAAAAGCCCUGGGUUAAUACCCUGGGGUCAUGACGGUACCGUAAGAAUAAGCACCGGCUAACUACGUGCCAGCAGCCGCGGUAAUACGUAGGGUGCGAGCGUUAAUCGGAAUUACUGGGCGUAAAGCGUGCGCAGGCGGUUUUGUAAGACAGAGGUGAAAUCCCCGGGCUCAACCUGGGAACUGCCUUUGUGACUGCAAGGCUAGAGUACGGCAGAGGGGGAUGGAAUUCCGCGUGUAGCAGUGAAAUGCGUAGAUAUGCGGAGGAACACCGAUGGCGAAGGCAAUC
Molecule: ribosomal RNA, 721 nt
Filed under: uncultured bacterium
Lineage: Bacteria
Description: bacterial SSU rRNA
Rfam family: Bacterial small subunit ribosomal RNA
Source: RNAcentral